GAUGAACGCUGGCGGCGUGCCUAAUACAUGCAAGUCGAGCGAACAGACGAGGAGCUUGCUCCUCUGACGUUAUCGGCGGACGGGUGAGUAACACGUGGAUAACCUACCUAUAAGACUGGGAUAACUUCGGGAAACCGGAGCUAAUACCGGAUAAUAUAUUGAACCGCAUGGUUCAAUAGUGAAAGACGGUUUUGCUUUCACUUAUAGAUUGAUCCGCGCCGCAUUAGCUAGUUGGUAAGGUAACGGCUUACCAAGGCAACGAUGCGUAGCCGACCUGAGAGGGUGAUCGGCCACACUGGAACUGAGACACGGUCCAGACUCCUACGGGAGGCAGCAGUAGGGAAUCUUCCGCAAUGGGCGAAAGCCUGACGGAGCAACGCCGCGUGAGUGAUGAAGGUCUUCGGAUCGUAAAACUCUGUUAGUAGGGAAGAACAAAUGUGUAAGUAACUAUGCACGUCUUGACGGUACCUAAUCAGAAAGCCACGGCUAACUACGUG
Molecule: ribosomal RNA, 497 nt
Filed under: uncultured bacterium
Lineage: Bacteria
Description: partial 16S ribosomal RNA
Rfam family: Bacterial small subunit ribosomal RNA
Source: RNAcentral